This is a long non-coding RNA of Myiozetetes cayanensis, 1808 nucleotides long. RefSeq lists it as uncharacterized. Lineage: Eukaryota; Metazoa; Chordata; Aves; Passeriformes; Tyrannidae. The record is from RefSeq and is a predicted model, not a curated record. The transcript is spliced from 5 exons.
CCCCUGCCCCCGGGACUGAUUUUGGGGUGUCCCCAUGACCUUUUGGAGUCUCUGGUGGUUUUUGGGGUCCCCCUGACCUCUGGGGUGUCCCCCUGAUCUUUGGGGUGAUUUGGGUCAAUUUUGGGGUGAUUUGGGUUGAUUUUGGGGUGAUUAGGGCUCAUUUUGGGGUGUUUUUCUGCCCAUUUUGGGGUGAGUUGGGUCGAUUUUGGGGUGUCUCCGUUAAUGAUUUCAGGAUCUUCUGUGGUGACCUGGGGGUGACUUUGGGGUGUCCCCCUGACCUUUUUGGGGUUUCUGUUGAUUUUUGGGGUCUGUGGGGACCUUUGGGGUGUCCCCCUGACCUUUGAGGCUGAUUUUGGGGUGUCCCCAUUAACUUUUGGGGUCUCUGGUGAUUUUUGGGGUGUCCCUCUGACCUUUGGGGUGUCCCCCUGGCCCUGGAGCUGAUUUUGGGGUGUCCCCCUGUUCUCAUUUCCAGACAACCUGGGGGUGAUUUGGGGGUGACUUUUGGGGUCUCUGGUGACCUUUUGGGUGCCCCCCUGACUUUUGGGGUGUCCCCCUGACCCCGGGGCUGAUUUUGGGGUGUCCCCAUUACCUUUUGGGGUGAUCUGGGUUGAUUUUUGGGGUGAUUUGGGCUGAUUUUGGGGUGUCCCCCCAGCUGAUUUCCGUAUUUUCUGUGGAGAUUUGGGCAAUGAGGUGAAUGACGAGACCCUGGGGUGACUUUGGGGCUGAUUUUGGGGUGUCCCCCUGACCUGGGGGUGACUUUGGGGCGAUUUGGGGUGAUUUGAGGUGAUUUUGGGGCAUUUUUCUGCCCAUUUCCCACACAAUUUCCAUAUUUUUUGUGGAGAUCUUGGCAAUGAGGUCAAUGACGAGACCCUGGGGUGACUUUGGGCUGAUUUUAGGGUUAAUUUGGGAUGAUUUUUUGUCCCAUUUCCAGAUGAUUUCCGUAUUUUCUGUGGGGAUUUGGGCAAUGAGGUGAAUGACGAGACCCUGGGGUGAUUUUAGGGUUAAUUUGGGAUGUUUUUGUGCCCAUUUUCCACACAAUUUCCAUAUUUUUUGUGGAGAUUUGGGCAAUGAGGUGAAUGACGAGACCCUGGGGUGACUUUGGGCUGAUUUAGGACUGAUUUUGGACUGAUUUUGGACUGAUUUGGGCUGACUUUGGGGUGUUUUUGUGCCCAUUUUCCAGAUGAUUUCCGUAUUUUCUGUGGAGAUUUUGGCAAUGAGGUCAAUGACGAGACCCUGGGCUGAUUUUAGGGUUAAUUUUGGAUGUUUUUGUGCCCAUUUUCCAGAUGAUUUCCGUAUUUUCUGUGGGGAUUUGGGCAAUGAGGUGAAUGACGAGACCCUGGGCUGAUUUUAGGGUUAAUUUGGGGUGUUUUUGUGCCCAUUUCCCAGAUGAUUUCCGUAUUUUCUGUGGAGAUCUUGGCAAUGAGGUGAACGACGAGACCCUGGGGUGACUUUGGGCUGAUUCAGGACUGAUUUUGGGGUGAUUUGGGCUGAUUUUGGGGUGUUUUUCUGCCUGUUUCCCACACAAUUUCCAUAUUUUUUGUGGAGAUUUGGGCAAUGAGGUGAAUGACGAGACCCUGGGGUUGAUUUAGGGUUAAUUUGGGAUGAUUUUUUUUCCAUUUUCCAGAUGAUUUCCGUAUUUUCUGUGGGGAUUUGGGCAAUGAGGUGAAUGACGAGACCCUGGGCUGAUUUUAGGGUUAAUUUGGGGUGUUUUUGUGCCCAUUUUCCAGAUGAUUUCCGUAUUUUCUGUGGGGAUCUUGGCAAUGAGGUCAAUGACGAGACCCUGGGCUGAUUUUAGGGUUAAUUUGGGA